This 143-nucleotide ribosomal RNA is filed under the name Haplolejeunea cucullata. RNAcentral's name for it is "partial 5.8S ribosomal RNA". It matches the Rfam family "5.8S ribosomal RNA". Rfam says of the family: 5.8S ribosomal RNA (5.8S rRNA) is a component of the large subunit of the eukaryotic ribosome. It is transcribed by RNA polymerase I as part of the 45S precursor that also contains 18S and 28S rRNA. The record is from RNAcentral. Lineage: Eukaryota; Viridiplantae; Streptophyta; Jungermanniopsida; Porellales; Lejeuneaceae.
GGAUAUCUUGGCUCUUGCAACGAUGAAGAACGCAGCGAAAUGCGAUACCUAGUGUGAAUUGCAGAAUUCCGCGAAUCAUCGAGUUUUUGAACGCAAGUUGCGCCCGAGGCUCGUUCCGAGGGCAUGCCUGCCUGAGCGUCCGC